RNAcentral lists this ribosomal RNA (1169 nucleotides) under uncultured archaeon. RNAcentral describes it as "bacterial SSU rRNA". It matches the Rfam family "Archaeal small subunit ribosomal RNA", at positions 148 to 1309 of the family's 1478-position model. The record is from RNAcentral.
AAUACCCGAUAGUCCUCGAAUGCUGGAAUGCGUCGAGGACGAAAGCUCCGGUGCCUAAGGAUGGGUCUGCGGCCUAUCAGGUAGUAGUGGGUGUAGCGUACCUACUAGCCUACGACGGGUACGGGUUGUGAGAGCAAGAGCCCGGAGAUGGAUUCUGAGACACGAAUCCAGGCCCUACGGGGUGCAGCAGGCGCGAAAACUUUACAAUGCUGGCAACAGCGAUAAGGGAACCUCGAGUGCCAGGUUACAAAUCUGGCUGUCGAGAUGCCUAAAAAGCAUUUUCAUAACAAGGGCCGGGCAAGACCGGUGCCAGCCGCCCCCGGUAACCCCGGCGGCUCCAGUGGUAACCGUUAUUAUUGGGUCUAAAGGGUCUGUAGCCCGGCCCGAUAAAUCUCUUGGGAAAUCUGGCAGCUCAACUGUCAGGGUUUCCAGGAGGAUACUUUCUGGCUCGAGGGCGGGGAGAGGUGAGAGGUAUUUCCGGGGAAGGGGUGAAUUCUUUGUAAUCCUUGAAGGACCACCAGUGGCGGAGGGUGUCUCAUCCAGAACGGACCUGACGGCAAGGACGAAAAGCUAGGGGCACGAACCGGAUUAGAUACCCGGGUAGUCCUAGCCGUAAAGAUACUCGUUAGGUUUCGGCCACGGUGCGACCGUGGUCGUUGCGUAGGAAAGCCGUGAAAGCGACCCACCUGGGAAGUACGGCCGCAAGGCUGAAACUUUAAGGAAAUUGGCGGGGGAGCCCCACAACGGGUGGAGCUUGCGGUUUAAUUGGAUUCAACGCCGGAAAUCUUNCCGGGACCGACAGCAAUAUGAAGGCCAGGCUGAAGACUUUGCCGGAUUAGCUGAGAGGUGGUGCAUGGCCGUCGUCAGUUCGUACUGUGAAGCAUCCUGUUAAGUCAGGCAACGAGCGAGACCCACGCCCACAGUUGCCAGCGUACUCUCCGGAGUGAUGGGUACACUGUGGGGACCGCCGCUGCUAAAGCGGAGGAAGGAAUGGGCAACGGUAGGUCAGUAUGCCCCGAAUAUCCCGGGCUACACGCGAGCUACAAUGGUUGGUACAAUGGGUAUCUACCCCGAGAGGGGAUGGCAAUCUCCUAAAACCAAUCUUAGUUCGGAUUGAGGGCUGCAACUCGCCCUCAUGAAGCUGGAAUCCGUAGUAAUCGCGUUUCAAC